This 627-nucleotide ribosomal RNA is filed under the name Vishniacozyma victoriae. RNAcentral describes it as "partial large subunit ribosomal RNA". It matches the Rfam family "Eukaryotic large subunit ribosomal RNA", at positions 38 to 655 of the family's 3401-position model. The record is from RNAcentral. Lineage: Eukaryota; Fungi; Basidiomycota; Tremellomycetes; Tremellales; Bulleribasidiaceae.
GCAUAUCAAUAAGCGGAGGAAAAGAAACUAACUAGGAUUCCCUUAGUAACGGCGAGUGAACCGGGAUGAGCUCAAAUUUAAAAUCUGGCGUCUUUCAGGCGUCCGAGUUGUAAUCUAUAGAGGCGUUUUCCGCGCCGGACCGCGUCCAAGUCUCUUGGAAUAGAGUAUCAAAGAGGGUGACAAUCCCGUACUUGACGCGACAACCGGUGCUCUGUGAUACGUUCUCAAUGAGUCGAGUUGUUUGGGAAUGCAGCUCUAAAUGGGUGGUAAAUUCCAUCUAAGGCUAAAUAUUGGCGAGAGACCGAUAGCGAACAAGUACCGUGAGGGAAAGAUGAAAAGCACUUUGGAAAGAGAGUUAAACAGCACGUGAAAUUGUUAAAAGGGAAACGAUUGAAGUCAGUCGUGUGAAAGGUAUUCAGCCGUCUCUGGCGGUGUAUUUGCCUUUCACGGGUCAACAUCAGUUUGAUCCGGUAGAAAAAGGCAGGAGGAAGGUGGCACCCUCGGGUGUGUUAUAGCCUCUUGUCAUAUGUGCCGGACCAGACUGAGGAACGCAGCUUGCCGCAAGGCCGGGGUUCGCCCACGUACAAGCUUAGGAUGUUGACAUAAUGGCUUUAAACGACCCGUCUU